UACGUAGGAUGCAAGCGUUGUCCGGAUUUACUGGGCGUAAAGCGCGCGCAGGCGGCACAUUAAGUAAGGUGUGAAAUAUCCCGGCUCAACCGGGAGGGUGCACUUUAGACUGAUGAGCUUGAGGUCGGUAGAGGGGGGUGGAAUUGCUGGUGUAGCGGUGAAAUGCGCAGAUAUCAGGAGGAACACCGGUGGCGAAGGCGGGACUCUGGGCCGAUACUGACGCUGAGGAGCGAAAGCGUGGGGAGCGAACAGG
Molecule: ribosomal RNA, 253 nt
Filed under: uncultured bacterium
Lineage: Bacteria
Description: partial 16S ribosomal RNA
Rfam family: Bacterial small subunit ribosomal RNA
Source: RNAcentral